Molecule: ribosomal RNA, 253 nt
Filed under: uncultured bacterium
Lineage: Bacteria
Description: partial 16S ribosomal RNA
Rfam family: Bacterial small subunit ribosomal RNA
Source: RNAcentral
UACGUAGGGUGCGAGCGUUAAUCGGAAUUACUGGGCGUAAAGCGUGCGCAGGCGGUUCGCCAAGUCAGGUGUGAAAUCCCCGGGCUUAACCUGGGAAUUGCGCUUGAAACUAGCGGGCUUGAGUGUGGCAGAGGGGGGUGGAAUUCCGCGUGUAGCAGUGAAAUGCGUAGAGAUGCGGAGGAACACCGAUGGCGAAGGCAGCCCCCUGGGCUGACACUGACGCUCAGGCACGAAAGCGUGGGGAGCAAACAGG